GAUGAAGAACGUAGCGAAAUGCGAUACGUAAUGUGAAUUGCAGAAUUCAGUGAAUCAUCGAAUCUUUGAACGCAUAUUGCGCUCUUUGGUAUUCCGAAGAGCAUGCUUGUUUGAGUAUCAGUAAACACCUCAAAGACUUCAAGUUGUUUUGAAUGGCUUUGGACUUGAGCAAUCCCAACACCAGUCUUUACGAUCGGUGGAGGGUUGCUUGAAAUGCAGGUGCAGCUGGACAUUCUCCUGAGCUAAAAGCAUAUUUAUUUAGUCCCGUCAAACGGAUUAUUACUUUUGCUGCAGCUAACAUAAAGGGAGUUUGACCGUAUUGGCUGACUGAUGCAGGAUUUCACAAGGGUCGGCAACGAUUCUUGUAAAACUCGAUCUCAAAUCAAGUAAGACUACCCGCUGAACUUAAGCAUAUCAAUAAGCGGAGGA
This 429-nucleotide unclassified non-coding RNA is filed under the name soil metagenome. RNAcentral describes it as "partial contains 5.8S ribosomal RNA, internal transcribed spacer 2, and large subunit ribosomal RNA". The stretch from base 1 to 120 matches the Rfam family "5.8S ribosomal RNA", at positions 35 to 154 of the family's 154-position model. The record is from RNAcentral.